ACAUGUCAGAUAUAGCUAGUUGGUGGGGUAAUGGCCCACCAAGGCUGUGAUCUGUAGCUGGUCUGAGAGGAUGAUCAGCCACACUGGAACUGAGACACGGUCCAGACUCCUACGGGAGGCAGCAGUGGGGAAUAUUGGACAAUGGGCGCAAGCCUGAUCCAGCUAUGCCGCGUGAGCGAGGAAGGCCUUAGGGUUGUAAAACUCUUUCAGUAGGGAAGAUAAUGACGGUAC
This 231-nucleotide ribosomal RNA is filed under the name uncultured Anaplasma sp. RNAcentral's name for it is "partial 16S ribosomal RNA". It matches the Rfam family "Bacterial small subunit ribosomal RNA", at positions 231 to 478 of the family's 1533-position model. Lineage: Bacteria; Pseudomonadati; Pseudomonadota; Alphaproteobacteria; Rickettsiales; Anaplasmataceae. The record is from RNAcentral.